UACGGAGGUGGCGAGCGUUGUCCGAAGUUACUGGGCGUAAAGCGCGCGUAGGCGGUCUUGUAAGUCGGAUGUGAAAUCCCUCGGCUCAACCGAGGACGUGCAUCCGAAACUGCGGAGCUUGAGUACUGAAGAGGAUCGCGGAAUUCCCGGUGUAGAGGUGAAAUUCGUAGAUAUCGGGAGGAACACCAGUGGCGAAGGCGACUACCUGGCCUGUUCUUGACGCUGAGGCGCGAAAGCUAGGGGAGCAAACGGG
This 253-nucleotide ribosomal RNA is filed under the name uncultured bacterium. RNAcentral's name for it is "partial 16S ribosomal RNA". It matches the Rfam family "Bacterial small subunit ribosomal RNA", at positions 524 to 776 of the family's 1533-position model. The record is from RNAcentral.